This 846-nucleotide ribosomal RNA is filed under the name uncultured bacterium. RNAcentral describes it as "bacterial SSU rRNA". It matches the Rfam family "Bacterial small subunit ribosomal RNA", at positions 51 to 888 of the family's 1533-position model. The record is from RNAcentral.
ACACAUGCAAGUCGAGGGGCAUCAGUUUGGUUUGCUUGCAAACCAAAGCUGGCGACCGGCGCACGGGUGAGUAACACGUAUCCAACCUGCCUCAUACUCGGGGAUAGCCUUUCGAAAGAAAGAUUAAUAUCCGAUAGCAUAUAUUUCCCGCAUGGGUUUUAUAUUAAAGAAAUUCGGUAUGAGAUGGGGAUGCGUUCCAUUAGUUUGUUGGCGGGGUAACGGCCCACCAAGACUACGAUGGAUAGGGGUUCUGAGAGGAAGGUCCCCCACAUUGGAACUGAGACACGGUCCAAACUCCUACGGGAGGCAGCAGUGAGGAAUAUUGGUCAAUGGACGCGAGUCUGAACCAGCCAAGUAGCGUGAAGGAUGACUGCCCUAUGGGUUGUAAACUUCUUUUAUAUGGGAAUAAAGUGGUCCACGUGUGGAUUUUUGUAUGUACCAUAUGAAUAAGGAUCGGCUAGCUCCGUGCCAGCAGCCGCGGUAAUACGGAGGAUCCGAGCGUUAUCCGGAUUUAUUGGGUUUAAAGGGAGCGUAGGCGGAUUGUUAAGUCAGUUGUGAAAGUUUGCGGCUCAACCGUAAAAUUGCAGUUGAUACUGGCAGUCUUGAGUGCAGUAGAGGUGGGCGGAAUUCGUGGUGUAGCGGUGAAAUGCUUAGAUAUCACGAAGAACUCCGAUUGCGAAGGCAGCUCACUGGAGUGUAACUGACGCUGAUGCUCGAAAGUGUGGGUAUCAAACAGGAUUAGAUACCCUGGUAGUCCACACAGUAAACGAUGAAUACUCGCUGUUUGCGAUAUACAGUAAGCGGCCAAGCGAAAGCAUUAAGUAUUCCACCUGGGGAGUACGCCGG